GACGAACGCUGGCGGCGUGCUUAACACAUGCAAGUCGAACGGAAAGGCCCUGCUUUUUUGGUGUGCUCGAGUGGCGAACGGGUGAGUAACACGUGAGUAACCUGCCCUUUACUUUGGGAUAACUUCAGGAAACUGGGGCUAAUACCGGAUAGGAGCUCCUGCUGCAUGGUGGGGGUUGGAAAGUUUCGGCGGUUGGGGAUGGACUCGCGGCUUAUCAGCUUGUUGGUGGGGUGUUGGCUUACCAAGGCUUUGACGGGUAGCCGGCCUGAGAGGGUGACCGGCGACAUUGGGACUGAGAUACGGACCAGACUCCUACGGGAGGCAGCAGUGGGGAAUAUUGCACAAUGGGCGGAAGCCUGAUGCAGCAACGCCGCGUGCGGGAUGACGGCCUUCGGGUUGUAAACCGCUUUCGCCUGUGACGAAGCGUGAGUGACGGUAAUGGGUAAAGAAGCACCGGCUAACUACGUG
RNAcentral lists this ribosomal RNA (468 nucleotides) under uncultured bacterium. RNAcentral describes it as "partial 16S ribosomal RNA". It matches the Rfam family "Bacterial small subunit ribosomal RNA", at positions 28 to 507 of the family's 1533-position model. The record is from RNAcentral.